CGUUUACCACGGUAUGAUUCAUGACUGGGGUGAAGUCGUAACAAGGUAACCGUAGGGGAACCUGCGGUUGGAUCACCUCCUUACCUAAAAUGAAGC
RNAcentral lists this ribosomal RNA (96 nucleotides) under Pasteurella multocida. Its description in RNAcentral is "partial 16S ribosomal RNA". The stretch from base 1 to 83 matches the Rfam family "Bacterial small subunit ribosomal RNA", at positions 1451 to 1533 of the family's 1533-position model. The record is from RNAcentral. Lineage: Bacteria; Pseudomonadati; Pseudomonadota; Gammaproteobacteria; Pasteurellales; Pasteurellaceae.